GGCAACCCACUUGGGUCCCAUUCCAUGCUGUGGAAGGUUUGUUCUUUUGCACUUCACAAUAAAUCUUGCUGCUGCUCGCUCUUUGGGUCCGCACCACCUUUAUGAGCUAUAUCACUCACUGUGAAGGUCUGCGGCUUCACUCCUGAAGUCAGCAAGACCACGAACCCACCAGGAGGAACAAACAACUCUGGACGCGCCACCUUUAAGAGCUGUAGCAACCACUGCGAAGGUUUGUGUCUUCACUCCUGAAGUCACGCCAGACCACAAACCCACUGGAAGGAAGAAACUCCAGACACAUCUGGACAUCUGAAGGAACAGACUCAGGAAACAAUCUUUAAGAACUGUAACACUCACCGCCAGGGUUCAUGGCUCCAUUCUUGAAGUCAGCCAGACCAAGAAGCCACCAGAAGGAACCAAUUCCAGACACGGGAGCACAGAUGUACCCUGAAUAUAUGCCUUCGUUACAGAAGCUUUUUGAGGUACUGGACACGUUUCUGAAUUUGCUUUACCCUGAACAAACGUAGGCAACUCAAAACCUAAUUCUGAACUCUGGUCUAUACCAUGUUAUUUUUAAGAUUUAUGUGCGCAUUUAAUUAAUUAUAAAAGCACUAAUGAAAGGCCUGUCUCUCUAUUCUAUCCGUUCAUACAUUGUUCCGAACUCUUACAAUUACUAUGACUGAGAAAGAUAUUAUAUCUUGUACUAUCAGCUGCCUUGUACCUCCAUUUUUUUUUUUACUUUACAAUUGCUUUCCUGACUAUAGUAAAUUUAUAUUCAUACUAGCUUUAAAAUCCCUCUGUUUAGUUUCUACAAAGAGUUUAUUUUUUAAUUGACUUUAUUAGGUUAUAAUUUAUACAGAGUAUAAUAAUUUUUAUCACAUUGUUCAACAGAUUUUGCCUAUUUAACUACCCCUACAUUUAAGAUAGAAAACAUUUUUCAUCACGCAAAAGGUUCUUUAAUAUCUCUUCCCAGUUAGUCACUAGCCGCUACUGGUCCUGCUACUGCUGCUCUGCUGUCUAUCCUUGCAGAUUAAAUUUGUCUUUUUUAGUGUUUCACAUUAAUGGAAUGACACGCAUAUGCUCAUUUGUGUCUGGAUUCUUUCAUUGAUUAUAAGGUUUUUAGAUUGAUCAUGUGGUUAUGUCUAUCCAGUUCAUUAUUUGUUUUUAAUUUCUGAGUAGUAUUUCAUUGCAUGCUGUAUCACAAUUUGUUUAUGCAUUCAUUUGUUGGUAGACAUUGUUAGGAUUGUUUUUUGACUAUUAUGGAUAAAGCUUCGCUAGACAACC
This is a long non-coding RNA of Homo sapiens (human), 1281 nucleotides long. The record is from Ensembl. NCBI's taxonomy places the organism in Eukaryota, Metazoa, Chordata, Mammalia, Primates, Hominidae.